This 288-nucleotide ribosomal RNA is filed under the name uncultured bacterium. Its description in RNAcentral is "partial 16S ribosomal RNA". It matches the Rfam family "Bacterial small subunit ribosomal RNA", at positions 29 to 334 of the family's 1533-position model. The record is from RNAcentral.
AACGAACGCUGGCGGCACGCCUAACACACGCAAGUCGAACGAGAAGCUUCUUUCGGGAAGUGGACAGUGGCGGACGGGUGAGUAACACGUGGGAAUAUGCCUUUUGGUACAGAACAACGCCUGGAAACGGGUGCUAAUACUGUAUACGCCCUUAGGGGGAAAGAUUUAUCGCCGAGAGAUUGGCCUGCGUUAGAUUAGCUAGUUGGUGAGGUAAUGGCUCACCAAGGCGACGAUCUAUAGCUGGUUUGAGAGGAUGAUCAGCCACACUGGGACUGAGACACGGCCCAG